Molecule: ribosomal RNA, 720 nt
Filed under: bacterium w3cb18
Lineage: Bacteria
Description: bacterial SSU rRNA
Rfam family: Bacterial small subunit ribosomal RNA
Source: RNAcentral
GCGGCGUGCUUAACACAUGCAAGUCGAACGAGAAGCUCACUUCGGUGAGUGGACAGUGGCAGACGGGUGAGUAACGCGUGGCAACCUACCCUUCACUACGGGACAACAGUUGGAAACGACUGCUAAUACCGUAUACGUCCUCCGGGAGAAAGAUUUAUCGGUGAUGGAUGGGGCCGCGUUAGAUUAGCUUGUUGGUAAGGUAAUGGCUUACCAAGGCUUCGAUCUAUAGCUGGUCUGAGAGGAUGAUCAGCCACACUGGGACUGAGACACGGCCCAGACUCCUACGGGAGGCAGCAGUGGGGAAUAUUGGACAAUGGGCGCAAGCCUGAUCCAGCAACGCCGCGUGAAUGAUGAAGGCCUUAGGGUUGUAAAAUUCUUUCGCUAGGGAAGAUAAUGACUGUACCUAGUAAAGAAGCCCCGGCUAACUCCGUGCCAGCAGCCGCGGUAAUACGGAGGGGGCUAGCGUUGUUCGGAAUUACUGGGCGUAAAGCGUGCGUAGGCGGAUUAAUAAGUUAGAUGUGAAAUCCCAGGGCUCAACCCUGGAACUGCAUUUAAAACUGUUAGUCUUGAGUUCUGGAGAGGUAAGUGGAAUUGCUAGUGUAGAGGUGAAAUUCGUAGAUAUUAGCAGGAACACCAGAGGCGAAGGCGGCUUACUGGACAGAUACUGACGCUGAGGCACGAAAGUGUGGGGAGCAAACAGGAUUAGAUACCCUGGUAGUC